GUCCACGCCUAACGAUGUCAACUGGUUGUUGGGAAUUUAUUUCUCAGUAACGAAGCUAACGCGUGAAGUUGACCGCCUGGGGAGUACGGCCGCAAGGUUAAACUCAAAGGAAUUGACGGGACCCGCACAAGCGGUGGAUGAUGUUCUUUAAUUCGAUGCAACGCGAAACCUUACCACCUUUGACAUGUAUGGAAUCCUUUAGAGAUGAAGGAGUGCUCGAAAGAGAGCCAUAACACAGGUGCUGCAUGGCUGUCGU
RNAcentral lists this ribosomal RNA (256 nucleotides) under uncultured bacterium. RNAcentral's name for it is "partial 16S ribosomal RNA". It matches the Rfam family "Bacterial small subunit ribosomal RNA", at positions 793 to 1055 of the family's 1533-position model. The record is from RNAcentral.